Molecule: non-coding RNA, 88 nt
Organism: Roridomyces roridus
Lineage: Eukaryota; Fungi; Basidiomycota; Agaricomycetes; Agaricales; Mycenaceae
Source: the annotation of a GenBank genome assembly
GCCGGCGUGGCUCAAUGGCAGAGCAUCGCUUUCCUAAUCUGGAAUAUACUCCAGGCGAAGGUUGUGGGUUCGAGUCCCACUGUCGGUU